UCCAUCGCGAGGUGGAAUCUGAAGGAAGCUGUCGGCAAAGUUCUGGCCCGAGGAACACGAACACCAUUAGGCAGAAGCUGUGGGGGUAAGCUUGCCAAACAAAGCGAAGCCCAAAGAUUACACGGACCUAGUACUGUAGAUGGUGCGGGUAGAUGGAAUGAAAGUUUAUCGU
Molecule: non-coding RNA, 172 nt
Filed under: Chitinophaga costaii
Lineage: Bacteria; Pseudomonadati; Bacteroidota; Chitinophagia; Chitinophagales; Chitinophagaceae
Source: RNAcentral